Molecule: small nucleolar RNA, 86 nt
Filed under: Erinaceus europaeus (western European hedgehog)
Lineage: Eukaryota; Metazoa; Chordata; Mammalia; Eulipotyphla; Erinaceidae
Description: Small nucleolar RNA SNORA32 (ENSEEUG00000022219.1)
Source: RNAcentral
GGAUCAUUACCAAGGCUUUUUUCAUAAUGUGGAUCUCAUUUGCUGUGGACAUGGCCAUAAAAAAUUUCCACUAAAGACAAACAGUU